This 400-nucleotide ribosomal RNA is filed under the name Enterobacter cloacae. RNAcentral's name for it is "bacterial SSU rRNA". It matches the Rfam family "Bacterial small subunit ribosomal RNA", at positions 79 to 475 of the family's 1533-position model. The record is from RNAcentral. Lineage: Bacteria; Pseudomonadati; Pseudomonadota; Gammaproteobacteria; Enterobacterales; Enterobacteriaceae.
UGCUCUCGGGUGACGAGUGGCGGACGGGUGAGUAAUGUCUGGGAAACUGCCUGAUGGAGGGGGAUAACUACUGGAAACGGUAGCUAAUACCGCAUAACGUCGCAAGACCAAAGAGGGGGACCUUCGGGCCUCUUGCCAUCAGAUGUGCCCAGAUGGGAUUAGCUAGUAGGUGGGGUAACGGCUCACCUAGGCGACGAUCCCUAGCUGGUCUGAGAGGAUGACCAGCCACACUGGAACUGAGACACGGUCCAGACUCCUACGGGAGGCAGCAGUGGGGAAUAUUGCACAAUGGGCGCAAGCCUGAUGCAGCCAUGCCGCGUGUAUGAAGAAGGCCUUCGGGUUGUAAAGUACUUUCAGCGGGGAGGAAGGUGUUGUGGUUAAUAACCGCAGCAAUUGACGU